This 1345-nucleotide long non-coding RNA is filed under the name Zonotrichia albicollis (white-throated sparrow). Its description in RNAcentral is "lncRNA (ENSZALG00000010809.1)". Lineage: Eukaryota; Metazoa; Chordata; Aves; Passeriformes; Passerellidae. The record is from RNAcentral.
AUGAGGUAUUCUGGAGCAACAUACUGCACUGCCAUUUCAUUGAUCUAAAGAUGAAAGCCUUGUCACUGCAGUACCACCUCAUUUCAAAGUGAAUGCACUUAGACAGAUGGAGUAUGGCAAUUUUCAAUGUAAAUAAUGUUUUGCCUUUCUGAAGGAGCUCAUUUGCAGUCUUGAGGCCAUUAGACCUCUGCUCUGGCUCUUCAGCACUGCAGCUCUGCAAUAGGAUUGGAGAGUCAGUGUGAGAUUGACAAUUAACUUCUCACUUGUGCUGCAAACCUUCCUUUUAUAUUUCUAUAAAACUGAACAAAUGACUGCUACUUAUGUUUUGCUCAUCAACUUGUAAGUGAAGGCCAUUUAAGACAGAAAUGUAGGAUUUAGCUCCAGCUGCUGCUCUAAUGUUGCAGAAAGCUUUUGCUGCAGUUCAUUAAAUUCAACUUCAGGCAGUCACAAAACUGCCAGCUAAUUAUUCUUUUCUUUCCUUGGCUGAGUGAAUCCUGGUGUCACCAAUUUCCCCUCACAAAAUGGAGCUACAGAAUUCUUCACUGUGAAGAUUGAAGAAACAAAGCAGUAAGGAAGACACCAACAUUAUUUUGUUAAAAACAGAUAUCUUAAGGAGCAGCACUGGAAGGAGUUAAGAAGCUGAGAAUUAAGUCACAUUUUGACAUGUAUAGGACUCAGAAAAGAUGCCUGUUUACAAAAGGAUGUAAACAUCACCAGGAUGUUCCCACAGGAAAUGCCCUCCACAGCCAAGGGAGGUUUUAGGUGGGAAUUGAAGGCCCAUGCUUCUCUGGUUUUUCUGUGGAUUCCAGCAGGAGAAAAGGUAGGUAGGAAUUACUUGUGAAAAUCCUGAAAUGCCUUGAAAAUCAGAAUUGUGUGCUCUCAAAAUUGUGUUUAAAUAUUUUAGGGGUUAGCUUGGAAAGGUUACUGGGGAGGUAAUAGCUACUGAAACAGGAAAAAACCCCUUGAUAUGGUUUGAAAAUUACACAGCAGAACUGGACAUGAAAAUAAUUGAGUUUUGGAGAGCACACAAAUUGAAUAUGAGCAAUUAUGAAAAAAGUGCAAAGUGAUGUCUUUUGUUCUUUUUCUUCUUGUGUAGGGACAGCAACAGAUCCAGCUUGACUUGAAGUGAAUAGACUUCUUUUAGUAAGAUUUUGAUUGACCCCUUAUUUUCUACAGAACAGUUGUUUUUUCUGAUAUAAAAGUGGCAAGGAAGAAAAGGUUAUUUUUUAAAAUUUCAUUUAUUGGGUAUUUAUCAGUCAACAAAAUAUGUUUUGUAAAUUUCCAGGUCAACUAGGAUAGUAACAACAGACUUGAUUGUUACCAUAGCAUCAGAAACUUUUUUUCU